Molecule: ribosomal RNA, 398 nt
Filed under: Enterococcus casseliflavus
Lineage: Bacteria; Bacillati; Bacillota; Bacilli; Lactobacillales; Enterococcaceae
Description: bacterial SSU rRNA
Rfam family: Bacterial small subunit ribosomal RNA
Source: RNAcentral
UGGCGAACGGGUGAGUAACACGUGGGUAACCUGCCCAUCAGAAGGGGAUAACACUUGGAAACAGGUGCUAAUACCGUAUAACACUAUUUUCCGCAUGGAAGAAAGUUGAAAGGCGCUUUUGCGUCACUGAUGGAUGGACCCGCGGUGCAUUAGCUAGUUGGUGAGGUAACGGCUCACCAAGGCAACGAUGCAUAGCCGACCUGAGAGGGUGAUCGGCCACACUGGGACUGAGACACGGCCCAGACUCCUACGGGAGGCAGCAGUAGGGAAUCUUCGGCAAUGGACGAAAGUCUGACCGAGCAACGCCGCGUGAGUGAAGAAGGUUUUCGGAUCGUAAAACUCUGUUGUUAGAGAAGAAACAAGGAUGAGAGUAAAACGUCAUCCCCUGCGGAUUUACC